UGGGGAAUAUUGCGCAAUGGGCGAAAGCCUGACGCAGCAACGCCGCGUGGGUGAUGAAGGCCUUCGGGUCGUAAAGCCCUGUCAAGUGGGAAGAAACCUCCCUGCGAGGGGAGCUGACGGUACCACUGGAGGAAGCACCGGCUAACUCCGUGCCAGCAGCCGCGGUAAUACGGAGGGUGCAAGCGUUGUUCGGAAUCACUGGGCGUAAAGGGCGCGUAGGCGGUCUUGCAAGUCUGAUGUGAAAGCCCGGGGCUCAACUCCGGAAGUGCAUUGGAAACGGCAAGACUUGAGUUCGGGAGAGGAAGGCAGAAUUCCCGGUGUAGGGUUGAAAUCCGUAGAUAUCGGGAGGAAAACCGGUGGCGAAGGCGGCCUUCUGGAACGAAACUGACGCUGAGGCGCG
RNAcentral lists this ribosomal RNA (400 nucleotides) under uncultured bacterium. RNAcentral's name for it is "bacterial SSU rRNA". It matches the Rfam family "Bacterial small subunit ribosomal RNA", at positions 355 to 755 of the family's 1533-position model. The record is from RNAcentral.